UACGGGGGGAGCAAGCGUUGUUCGGAUUUACUGGGCGUAAAGGGCGCGUAGGCGGCGCGGGCAGUCAACGGUGAAAGCUCGGAGCUCAACUCCGAGUCGGCCGUCGAUACUCCCGUGCUUGAGCACUGUAGAGGCAGGUGGAAUUCCGGGUGUAGCGGUGGAAUGCGUAGAGAUCCGGAAGAACACCGGUGGCGAAGGCGGCCUGCUGGGCAGUAGCUGACGCUGAGGCGCGACAGCGUGGGGAGCAAACAGG
RNAcentral lists this ribosomal RNA (253 nucleotides) under uncultured bacterium. Its description in RNAcentral is "partial 16S ribosomal RNA". It matches the Rfam family "Bacterial small subunit ribosomal RNA", at positions 524 to 776 of the family's 1533-position model. The record is from RNAcentral.